This 253-nucleotide ribosomal RNA is filed under the name uncultured bacterium. Its description in RNAcentral is "partial 16S ribosomal RNA". It matches the Rfam family "Bacterial small subunit ribosomal RNA", at positions 524 to 776 of the family's 1533-position model. The record is from RNAcentral.
UACGUAGGGGGCUAGCGUUGUCCGGAAUCACUGGGCGUAAAGCGCGUGUAGGCGGUCCGGUAAGUCCGCUGUGAAAGUCGGGGGCUCAACCCUCGGAUGCCGGUGGAUACUGUCGGACUUGAGUACGGGAGAGGCGAGUGGAAUUCCUGGUGUAGCGGUGAAAUGCGCAGAUAUUAGGAGGAACACCAAUUGCGAAGGCAGCUCGCUGGAACGUUACUGACGCUGAGACGCGAAAGCGUGGGGAGCAAACAGG